RNAcentral lists this ribosomal RNA (253 nucleotides) under uncultured bacterium. Its description in RNAcentral is "partial 16S ribosomal RNA". It matches the Rfam family "Bacterial small subunit ribosomal RNA", at positions 524 to 776 of the family's 1533-position model. The record is from RNAcentral.
UACGGAGGGUGCAAGCGUUAUCCGGAUUUACUGGGUUUAAAGGGUGCGUAGGUGGGUAGGUAAGUCAGUGGUGAAAUCUUCAAGCUUAACUUGGAAACUGCGUCGGAUACUAUUCGGCUGGAGGAAUGGAGGGGAGACUGGAAUACUUGGUGUAGCAGUGAAAUGCGUAGAUAUCAAGUGGAACACCAGUGGCGAAGGCGAGUCUCUGGACAUUUCCUGACGCUGAGGCACGAAAGCGUGGGGAGCAAACAGG